This 31343-nucleotide long non-coding RNA is filed under the name Citrus maxima (pomelo). Its description in RNAcentral is "long non-coding RNA (CMAX_LNC000778)". The record is from RNAcentral. Lineage: Eukaryota; Viridiplantae; Streptophyta; Magnoliopsida; Sapindales; Rutaceae.
GAGGCAACCCUGCAGAGUCAUACAACUUGCUCCCUAAAUACUCUCACGUACUAACUACAGCGAAUGAGGGUACAAUCACUCAUCUCGAGCAGGAUGGAGAUGGUAAUUUCUUGUACUAUUUUGUAGCACUCGGAUCUUCCAUCAAGGGUUUUAUGCAGUACAUUCGGCCUGUCAUUGCUGUAGAUGGUACUCAUCUGAAGGGAUUAUAUCGUGGAAGCAUGUUCGUGGCAACAUGUCUUGAUGGUAACAAUCAAUUGUAUCCGUUAGCCAUUGGGAUCAUGGAUUCAGAAAACAACGAUGCUUGGGAAUGGUUUAUGAUGAAGUUACACGGAGUGAUUGGCGAUAGACCUGAGUUGGUAAUUAUCUCUGAUCGAUGCACUGCCAUAAGGAGAGCCGUUCUUAAAGUUUUUCACAAUGCAACUCAUGGCGUUUGUUUUUACCACGUCAAAGGUAACAUUAAGUCUCAGUUUAGAAUGUCCAAAGCUCUUUGGGAUCAAUUUGAGCCUGCCUUUAUUAAUGCAGCAAAAGCAUAUGGCCACGAGGAAUUUAAGAGAUAACUUGAAGGGUUGUGGAUGAUCCACUCGGGUGCGGCUGAUUACCUAGAAAAUAAUGUCGGUACGUGUAAUUGGGCAAGGUCGUAGUUUGAAGGUAGGAGGUACAACAUUCUUACCACGAACAUCGCGGAGAGUGUUAAUGCGUUCAUGAGGGAACCUCGAAAAUUUCCUGUGACUCAUCUUGUUGAUCACUUUAGGAAAACGUUGCAACAAUGGUUUUAUGAUAGGAAAAUUGUGGCUGAAUCAAUGACUACUCGGCUAACAACAUGGGCGGAUGAAAUAGUCACUGAGAGGAGAACUAUAGCUGAAAGAAUGAUAGUUCGGCCGGUGUCUCCGCAUCGCUUUCAAGUUAUAGGCGGUGGGCUUAAGGAAGGGUUGGUUGACUUGCAAAAGAGAACUUGCUCCUGCAGAGUGUUCCAGCUUGAUCAGCUUGUGUGUGCUCAUGCAAUUGCGGCGUGUCUAACACACCGGGUGGAUUUUAUUAACCUUUGCUCGGACUUUUACACUACAGAAUCGUUGGCGAUGGCUUAUGCACAACCAGUAGAGCCAGUUGGUGAUGUGGCUGAUUGGGAAAUUCCAGAUGAAAUUCAGGAGAUGCAUGUAUACCCACCAGUUGAGGCACCACCACCUGGCCGUCGUAAAGAGCUCAGAAUACCCUCGGCUGGCGAGGACGUUGACCGGCGGACUGUAAGAUGCGGUCGGUGUCAUGAACUAGGCCAUAAUCGUAAGAGAUGUAAGAAUCCCAUUGCGUCGACUCGAAGUUAGUUGUAUUUUGUGUGUUAUGAGUUUGUUAAAACUAUUAUUGUUUUUGUGUUCGUUGGUUAAAACUGUUACUGUUUUUUUUGUAUUGUACACUUAUAUUUCAUAAAACUUUAUUUAAAGUUUCAAAUGUGAGGCAUUAAAAUUAUAUAAACUUAAGUGUGCGAAGUAAAAAAAAUUCAAAUUUCAACAUUUAAAUUACUACAUAGGUUUACAAUUGAAUAUCGUCAUUAAAUAUAUCAACCGCAAUCUUCUUUCUAAAGUACUCGACAUGACUAGCGUUAAACUCCAAUCUAAGCCCGAACAUUAAAUACAUCGUAACCAUCAAUACAAAAACACCGCAAUCGCCAGUGCCGGGAUCUUGUUGUGGCACGCUCUUAACUGCGAUAACUUUCCACGGGUCUUCACUCUGUAACUCCGGUCGGAUAUUGUAGAAGCCAACAUAUUCCAACCAUCGAGGGAAUAUAACUUCAAGUGGCUUGAAUUUCAACUUGUACCUUUUGUCGUCGCGAUUUGUGAGUAAUGAGUCAUAAAUCCAGACUUUGUUUUUCCGAAAGUCAACUCGUGCUAGUACCCAAUGCGCGCCGUCGAAGUUAACAGGGAUGAGUAACUGCAUAUAACAAUUGAAAAACAUGUUCGUUAUGUAUGAAAUUAAAAUACAACAAAGAAAAAGCAACAACUUGAAUAUUUUCAUUAUAUAGCAUGUGAAAUGUAAUAAAAUACAUACCAUAUCGACAUCCGUCAUUGAUUUAGACAUUGUGUGCUGUCGGCCACAAAGAUAACUAUUCACGCGGUCGUCGAAUACCAUUGAAUCGACUGCACAAUUCUCGUUAUUCCAUAACUGAUUCAAGAACACCUAAUACAUAGAUAACCAAGAAAUGCAUAAAUUAAUAAAACUUAAACUUUUACAUCCACAUAAAAUUUAUAAGUUUUGUCGGCACGUUACCCAAAAAAAUGUGUCAGUAUGUGUGACACGUUGGAGUAAGGCAUUUGGAUACUGCCGUUGCUUCUCGCUAAUCAAGCGGAGAUACUCGUGAAUAUGCUGUAGAGAAACAGAAAUAUUACGAGUUUUUAAAAACAAAUUUAUACACAAAUCCACAACAGUAUACACCACGAGGAAAUUAUAAAUACCUCAUCGCCUAACCAUCCCAUCGAAGCUGUCCCCAAAAUUAUUUGAAAGAAUGACCACGGGUGCUGGACUCUCCGGCGGACUCUGCUAUCACCAGUAAACCAUCGAUCAAACUCAGCAAACAGACUAGAGUCCUCCAAUCCUCUCAGUGGAUUUACAUCCACACUCGUACUCAUGUCAAUCGCAUGCUCCAUGAUUUGAGGUCGAGGUAAAGGCCGGACGUUCUGUCCUCGCCUGACCGGAGGAAUCAUGUAAGGACUGUUAUAAACAUACGACGGUAUGUACGCGCGGCCGAACUUACUAACGCCUGGAGGCACCUCUGUGAACACCUGCACGCUCUCCCCACUUACAUCCCCGUAGAAACUAUACAAUGACGUGGGCGUAGACAAAUUUUCAUUGCCCACGUCAGUAUACACUCCAACGUCAUCCGGGGCCUGUACAUUCGCCAAAAAGAACAUAUUAAAUAACUAUCAAAUUAAAAGUUAAACGAAUAUUAUUAUUAACUUUAAAUUAGCUUACCGCAUACGAGCGUGCAGUGGGAGAAUCCUUAUUUGGACGUUUAGAAAAUGUGUCGAUGAAGCCAACAACGGUUUCUUUAAAAUCUUUUAAUUCUGACUUUAUUUCAUACACGUUACGAUCAAUCUUAUCCAGCCGUCGUCGUACGUAAUCAUUAAACUGCUUUGUCCUCGACUAUUACAAAAGAAAAAAAUAAAACUUUAGAAUAACAAUAAAAAAUUAAUAAUUUAUUAAAAAAAUAUCGUAUAUUAUUUCUAACCUCAGAAUCCCGUGCGUCAUCAGAGUUGUCUGUUUGCUGCUGGUGGUCAUCAACAGCCACCUCAUCCUCAAAAGUGUCGUGCCCCACCUCAUCCGCAAAAGUGUCAUGACGCUGCUCUGGUAUUGGGUUUGGUAUGUCGUCAUGAUCGUCAUGCUCGUCUGAUUGCCUUGUAACCGACGGCAUCGCGUUGAUUGAGGGUUGCUGAUGUAUAAAGUAUCAUUUAAAAUUAGUAAAUGAAAAGUCAAAAAUUUCGAUUAACAAAUUUUUAGUGCUUAGAGUAUACCGACCUUAUGAACCCAGUCUGGAAUGCUUGGCAAGUAAUCCUUCACAGAGAGCCAAUAAUUUUUGCUACUCUCCUUUGAAUUUGGCUCAAGGGUUUGUAAAACGUCCCCCUUCCAUAAAUUCAAUUUAAAAUUUUAAGUAAGUAUACAUAACUUAAAUUUAGUAAAGUUUAAAAAAUAAGUAAUACAUAUUACUUACAAGACGAGAUUCGUCGUUGAAGAACGAAUAAACCUCCGCAAAGUUGAUUCUCGACGACGCCAUGGGCUUCCAUUGCAGAAUGCGGGGAAUCUUAUUCUUCGUUUUGACGACCCAUGUUGAUGGCAACCCUCUGAUUGCUUCGUAAAUCCAAGCCUACAACAACCAAAGUGAAAAAUCAAAUAAAACAACUAUCAAAUAUUUAAUACUAUAAAACUUAUUAAUAAACAAAAAAAAAUAGCACCUGAACCCCAGACGUAAAGCCGUAAAGAUUGUAUUUUUCAAUAUUAUGAUCUGAAUUUUUCAACCGAGUCUUCUUAAAUUUCUCGUCUUUCUCGAACAGUGCAUUGUCAAGACUCUCGUAAAUAAUUUCCCACGACAAUAGACCCCAUGGACGCUUUCGAAAGUACUGUAUAUCAUCAACUUGGUCAAGCCAAUCGAAAUUAAUUUGACAGUGAUUUUUUCUUGCAUUUAGUACUCUGUCCGCAAAAUAAAACAGCGCAAUCUUUAAUGCGUCCAUAUCGUUCAUUUCCUCGAAUUUCAACUCCUUAAAUACUGCAUCGAAUUGCUUCACAUUAAUCUUACAAUGCACACCACCAAAAUAUGUAUUCCGUAGCCUCUGCUCCAUUUCAUCAUUUUUUUUAUUGGUAUCCACACCAAAUCAAAGUCCAGUAACCAAGCACCAUUCGACAAUUGACAAGCGAAUCACAUGCUUACCCAUUUGAAACCAUAACUGUAUAUCAUCAACUUGGUCAAGCCAAUCGAAAUUAAUUUGACAGUGAUUUUUUCUUGCAUUUAGUACUCUGUCCGCAAAAUAAAACAGCGCAAUCUUUAAUGCGUCCAUAUCGUUCAUUUCCUCAAAUUUCAACUCCUUAAAUACUGCAUCGAAUUGCUUCACAUUAAUCUUACAAUGCACACCACCAAAAUAUGUAUUCUGUAGCCUCUGCUCCAUUUCAUCAUUUUUUUUAUUGGUAUCCACACCAAAUGAAAGUCCAGUAACCAAGCACCAUUCGACAAUUGACAAGCGAAUCACAUGCUUACCCAUUUGAAACCAUAACUGAUCCUCACGGCUAUCUUCUUCAUGGGCCACUUGCCGCAGUAGAAGAUUGUGCAAAAUUACCCCACUAAAUGGAAAACUUCGACACUCCAAGAAAUGCCCAAAUAUAUCGUUUUUUAACAUACGCAACUGCCGGUUUGUUAAUUUUUCCUCGAUGGCUUUAACGACCGAAGAUAACAUACACAUGCUCGAAAUUCGACCAGGAAAAUGAUCAGCAUAACGAAAAUACAUCUUGCCUACUUCAAUAUCCGGUGAUUCUGAUUUCGCCAUGUAUCUGUAAUAUUUAUAAAAUUAUUACAUUACAUUUACAGAAAAAAAAAAAAUUAACUCCUUACAAAAAAAAAAUUUAAUUUUUGGUGCGACGGGCAAGCCAGUCGCACCAAAAAUUGGUGCGACAGGCGCGCCCGUCGCACCAGCUUUGGUGCAACAGCGUGCCGCGCAUGGCCGCGCGCUGCUGCCCCAGCGAUGUGCGCGCGCGCGCGCCCUGCUCCCCUCCCUCCCCACCCGCAAAAUUAAGCACAAUCACUCCAAAAUCGAAAACAAUACUCCCAAACACCACCAACCACCACAAACAUCAUCACCACCACUAUUAAUCUCAAGCUAUAACUAUUAUUAUUCUAAAAUCUCAUUUUAAAUUAAUGAAAAUAAGAAAAAUGACUAACCUAGAUUUUGUUGAAGGUUGUAGAUCGUAGAUCGGAUGCCGGUGAGAGAUGGAGCCGCCGCCGAGGAGGGUUGAUGUCGCCGCCGAUGAUGGGAGUUGGAUCGGUUUGGGAGAGAUGAGUGAAAGGGAGUGUUGGGGGAGAGAUGAGGGAGGGGUAUUUUGGUCUCAAAUGUUGUUUAAUGGCUAAUAUUGAUAGAAAUAUUUUUGGGGGGUUAAGAUGAAAAAAAGGGAAAUUUUUUUGGUUAUUACUGUAAAUUUCCCAUAAAGUAUUGAAACAUAUUAUACAAUGUUUAUAACACCCCACUUAUUUAUUUAUUUUUUUAAAAAAAAUCCACAUCUAUCAUUAAAACCCCAGUAAUAACGCCAUGGUGAUGAAAUUGUUACUGCUCAUUCUUUUUGUAGGCAAACCAUUUUUUUUUUUAAAUUUUUCAACCCCAGCAUAAACUAAAAGUCUUAGUAUUUAGAUUUUAUUAGUAUGUGGAUGUUCGGUUUUCCCUAUUUCUAUCGAUUUGAAAAUCUCUCAAGUCCUAUUAAUUUCUUAUGUGCAUUAAAUACACUUUAAUUUAAGUUUUGAAGACGUACAAAUGUAUAAAGAGUUUUCAUUAUAAGUGAGUUUUAUUAAUUAUAACUAUCUUUUUAGGUAAUAUCAGUUACAUGUAAAAAUCUAUAUAUAUAUAUAUAUAAAGCUGGGACUUCAGGAGGUGAUGUGGCAUUACCAUUUCUCAUCUUUGUAUAUUCUUUAUUAUCUAAUAAAUAGAGAAAUUUUCUUUUAAAUUUGACUUUUCAUCUUCUCAUAAUUAAUUUGAUUGUUAUUACACAAUAACAAUUAUGUAAAGAUUUUAAUGAGGCAUAUUCUUUGUAAUGAACAUCCAAGUGGGAGUGUUAUGAAUUUAUUAAAAUAAAUGUAGAUGUUCAUAAUAUAUAUCUCUUAGUCUCCCCACUAUCUCUCAUUAGCAACCUUUAGCUUCCCUAUAACUCCCACUAUCUCACAAGGAAUUAUAAUUCAUAAUUUUUCAUUAAUUUCAUGGAGUGAUUAUGUGACUAUAAAAGGAGAGCUUAUCUUUUUGUUUUGUACACACACAAUUGGAAUGAACAAAAUCACCCUAUAAUAUAUUCUCUCAUUUUAUUCUUUAUCUUGUGUUGCUUCUUUAUUUGUAUUGCUGGCUAAUAGCUUUAUUUUUUAUUUUUUUAUAAGGCCGCCUCAUCUUUAAAAAAAAUCAAUUCAUAUUUUUUUAUCAGUUUCAUCAAGUGUAAAGUAAGAAAAAAGGAUAAUAGUAAAUUCUUUUUUCAAAGCCACGUGAAGCGCGGUUCUAUUUUCUAAUAUAAAUAUAUAGCAAGAGUUUGAAUAGAUUUUAUCAGUACUUCAACUCAUAAUAAUAAAUUAGUACUAAUAUAACUACAAACUCUUAUACAAAUUUUUUUUGUACAAAUUAAUAUAACAUGAUUAAGUUGGUCAAUAUGAUUUAUUUUUAUUAUCUUGUAUUUUAUUCAACCAACGAGUUAAUACCAAAUCAGUUUGUAUAAAAUAAAUUUGUACAAGAGUUUGUGACUAUAUCAUCACUCAUAAUAAAUUCAAGCAUUAGAAUCCAUGAUAAAAUGGGCUAGAUAUUUGAAAAAUUUACAAAAAUAGCCAAAAAAUUUUAGGGUCUUUUAGAAUUAGUUAGUUUAACUUUUUCUCCCUUAUAUAGCCAAUUUCAACAUUUUUGGACAACAAUACCCUUGUUGUUCCAAAACCUAAAAAGCUUAACAUUUUCUUUGUUAACAUAUAUGUUUUCAUAAUGUUGAUUUUGAUGAUAACAAAUAAGAUUAAGAAUGAUUAAUCUUUUAAGCUCAAAUUAUUUUUUAUACUUUUUAAAUAAAUCAUUAUUUUCACAUUAUAAAGGUUUCAUAUUUAAUGGAAAAAUGAUUUUAUGAAAUUGGUUGUUUUCAAGUUUAUGAUUUAAUUGAAAGAAUUUUGAAAACUUUAAAAUCAACAAGUAUUGCUUGAAAUUUUGGAGAAGGACUUAUUUAAAAAGUUUCAUCGCAUUGCGGGCCAUAUCAUAAUUUUAGAUAGUUUUGGAAUUAACAAAGUAUUACUUAGAAAUUCUAAAAUUGGACCUAUUUACAAAUGUUCAUAACUUUUUAGGCCAUAGUACAGUUAUGGAAAGUUUUGGGGCCAAACUAUAAUUUUGGAAAAAAAUCAUUGUAGCAGUUACUGUAGCAAGCGGCUAUCCGGAUCUUGACAAACGGUAUACCGAAUUCGGACAUAAUGUUUCUGGAACUUAAACGGCUAACCGGAUUUCACAAGCGGCAUACCGGAUGUUCAGAAAUUCAAAAUUGUGGCUGUAACGGUAACAUUAAGCGGCUAACCGGAUGUCCAUAAACGGUAAGCCGGUUAUGACCAAAAUGUGCAUAACGGCUUGUUUUUGAGCUCAAACUAUAUAAACUCAAAACCAAUUCAUUUUUGGUAACCUAAGCAAGCAUAAACAAGUGCACACAACUUAUAUUGAGCUUCAAAUUCGAAAAUCAUCAUAGAUUAAAUCUUUAUUGAGCUAUCAAUUUGUAUAUCCACUCUUAAAGAGAGUUUCAUUGUUGUAAUUUUUAUUUCUCAUUAAAUUAUGAGUGUACAAGUGUGAGAAACACUUGGGGUGAAGAGAUUGGAGAGAUAAUCUCUUGUUGUAAAGGUUCAUUGACACAUUGAAGUCAAUUGUAAACGUUUGAAGUCUUAGAAAGGCUCAGAUAGUGAAAUCCUCAAGCCCGGUGUGCUUGGAGGCGUGGACGUAGGCGGGGAUUGCCGAACCACGUAAAAUCCUUGAGUUUGCUUUCUCUUUCCUUGCUAAUUUAUUAUUGUGCUUUCAUUGAAUUUAUUGCUUUCGAAUUUAUUAAGACAUUAGAUUGGAUUGUUGUGUGGUUUGCUUAGCUUAAUUUUUAAAAUCCCAAUUCACCCCCUCUCUUGGGUUGCCUAGUUAGUAUUUCAUUUGGUAUCAGAGCAAGGUGCUCUUAUUUAGACUUAACCGUCUAGAGCUAAAGAUCAAUGGCAACUUAAAAUGAUUCCACAUUUAGGGAAUGACAGUCCACCACUAGACUACCUUACUUUGAUGGAAACGAUUACCCGUAUUGAAAAACUAGGAUGAGAAUUUACUUGCAAGCCUUAGAUUAUGAAAUUUGGGAAAUCGUUAAUGAUGGUCCUUGUUGUGCAAAUUUUAUUGAACUCGCAAGUGCACGAAUCUAUUGUAAAAUAUAUCAAUGGUAACGAGUGUCGAUUCCACGAGGAGGUUGAUUUUAAUUGUGUGUAGAAUAAAUUUUUCUAAAUGGAUGUUUGGAUUUGUGGUGAAAGUGACUUAGAUUAUCCUAAACUUGGAAUUGAAAUAGCAAGAAUAAAUUAAAGAGAAAUCUAUUAAAAUGACGUACUUGGGUAUCUGGAUCCGUAUCAACAUGCACCAUGGGCUAAAUAUUCCUUAUUAAUGUCAAUUAAAUCAUGAGGGGGGUUUCCACACCUCAUGAACCACGCUCUAAUCAAUAUGGUGCUAAGGGCUUAUCGUGCCAAAUAAUAAUAACCUUAUACUAGAGAGCCGGUGAAACCAAGGUGGUAUCUAGACAAUAUUAUUAUUAUUUGUCGACGAGAAGUUAAAACAUCCACAAAAAUUAGAGGGAAAGAGAAAAUAAAUUUACCAAAUAAAGCCCAUGACACAUGUUGAGACUUCACAUUCAACCCAAGCUUGAAAGAAAAUUAGCUAUUCAUAAUUGAACUAGGGGCAAAAUGAGAAUUUAUUAAAAUACAUAGAAAAUACAAGAUGGAGAAGGAAUUACAGAAAAUGGAGUCCAAAAAUAGAUUCAGAGAUAUCAAAUUAAGGGGGAAGAGCCCCAUUUUUAUAGAUACAUUGAGUAAAUCAUGGCCAUCGGAUCAAAAACAUUUCGGACGCUCAGGAUUGCGCCACGUCAUCAGUCAAUAGUACGCGGUUUGACCACGCGGUUUGAACAGUAACACAGUUUGACCCGGGUUGAACAGUGACGUGGUUUGGUUGAAAAUAAUUGUGUGUAAUGCAUGUACCGUACGCGAGAUUUUUGGUCCACUGAUAUGCUGCCACAUCAUCGAUCAACAGUGCAUAAGAAUUUUAGUCCGACAGGAUCGUGACACCUCAUCAGUCAAUGCCACAUCAUCGGUCAAUGCUACGUCAUCGAUCCGUCUAUGUGAACAGUGUCGUAAACAGUAUCGUACAUGUUAACAAUGUCAUUUUUCCUUUUAUGCUCCUCCUAAGGUUUUCGACCAUCCUGAGUUCAAAAGUGAUGUCCAUUUUGCCGUCUGAUCUCUUGUUCAUUGUGAAAUGACUGUGAUGCCCCUAAAAUACAUAAAAUACUUAAUUAUAAUACAACACACAUAAUUAAAUGACAAGAAGUUUAAAUACAUAAAAAUUUUAGUCCGACAAGAUCGUGACACCUCAUCAGUCAAUGCCACAUCAUCGGUUAAUGCCACGUCAUCGAUCCGUCUAUGUGAACAGUGUCGUAAACAGUAACGUAGACAGUACCGUACAUGUGAACAGCGAUAUUUUUCCUUUUAUGCUCCUCUUAAGGUUUUCGACCGUCCUGAGUUCAAAAGUGAUGUCCAUUUUACCGUCUGAUUUCUUGUUCAUUGUGAAAUGACUGUGAUGUCCCUAAAAUACAUAAAAUACUUAAUUAUAAUACAACACACAUAAUUAAAUGACAAGAAGUUUAAAUACAUAAAAGUAAGGGUGUUAGCAAAACUUGAAGUGUAAAAUGACGAUUUUCUCAUUUAUAAAUAUAUAUUUUCUAAUACUCAAAACACCCCCAACCAGCUUAUUGCUAGUCCCUAGCAAAUAAAGCGAAAACAAAAUUCAAAUCCAAAAUGAUUUAUUUUAUUUAUUUAUUUUUUAUUUUUUAACAAUCAUAUUUAUUCAAUCAGACUAAUGAUAGUAAUCAAAUAAAAGUAUAAGCAUUAUCUCCAGUUUAAAGAAACAUCACACUUACAUCAACCAUCCACAUGAAUUAGCCCAAUGGACUUUGUCAUAGCUACUUUUAAGAAUAACAUGUCAAACCCCAAAAUCUCACUGGAAGUAGUGACACUCUCACAAAGAAAUUAAACCCAAUAAAAAUAGUCACUCCAAUGAAUGGUAAUUGAGAGAAAAUAAUAAAGAAAUGAUAUCACAUGCUCUCACCAAGAUGAAAGAAAUAUGCCCUCAGCUUAGAAAUAAUACGAUCUCAAGUCAAAUAAAAAUGCUAGUCAACCCACUUUAUUUAUCUUUUUUUUUUAUGCAUCACUACAUCUUUUUAGCCCAUAUAACUAGCUUCUACUUCAGACUAUAAUUCCCUAAAAUCAAGAAGGACUUUUAGUAGGACGUAACGUAGGUUAGAGACAUGGCUAACAAAGAAGGGAAAUAAAAAAACAAAGUGUAUGUUUGAGAAAAAUGCAGAGGAAUUUUUUUUUUUUGGAAGUUGCAAAGUGGAUUUCACCUAUUAUUAUUAUUUUUUUAUUUUUUUUUAAACAACAAUUUUUUUUUUUGCUUUUGUUGGGCAUAACUUCACUAUACAAAAUAUUUAUUUACAUUUUUCUCAAACAUAAAUAGGUGAUGUAACUUGUAAGAUAUUGGGUAAUACUCCAAAUCGGAGUGAGUCAAGAUGAUAAGUUUGACAAAGAAAAGUUUUUUUUUUUUUAAAGGCUCAAAAGGGUUAAGUAUGGAUAUUUGAUAAAAGAGAUGGCUAGAAAGGCUCAAACGGAUCAAAGAUUGUCUUUCCAUCAUCUUUUAGGGCUCUAAAUAAUCUUCCAUAUCUACUAGUUAGAUGAGCCUCCAUAUGUAGCAACACAUAUUUUUUUUUCUUCUUUUUUUUAAUUUUACAAUUUUUUUAAGGGUUAACUCAAAAGAAAUCUAGAGAUCGUGUAUACAAUAAUAAACUGCUAAGCUGUAUAAAUAAUGGGCAAAAAGGUUACUCUCCAAGAAAAAUGAUAGGCUCAAAAACUCACUUGGUACUUAUUAUGACAUGUUCAUUCCUUCAAGCAACUCAUAUUUGUCUCCGACAUCAACAUGUAGAGUAACAAACAUAGUGUAACAUCACUUAAGACCAAAGAUAAUACAAAUACUAAAAUUUGAAAUUAAUCAUGUCAUCCAUUGUUAAAACAAAUCACACAAAUUUUUUUUUAAACAACAUCCUACCCCCCAACCUAUUCUAAACAUGAAAGGAAAAUAUGCAUGCAGAAAUGUGAAAAUGAUGCAAAAAAAAAAAAACUAAUUAGAAAAGUUACACUUAAAAUGAUAGAAAAUGAAAAUGGUUUUUUUUUUUAACUUAAAAAGAUGUGUUUCUAGAGGCACUACUACACUCCAUAUUUAGCCAUCUUCGACUCAAAAUUUUGAAAGUGUAUAUUUAUAAAGGAGAAAUUAGAAAGAAGAAGUUAGAAAAAUAAUUGUCAAAGCUUAAUAAAGAAAAAGAAAAUGUCUGGAAUUUUUUUUGUUUCUUUAUUAUUUUUUUUAAACAAAGAAGAUGCGUUUCUAGAGUCACUACACUCUAUAUUCAGCCAUCUUCAACAUAAAAAGUUAGCCACGGUUAGUCUCUACAGUAAAAAAUUAGUAAAAACUUAACCAAGAUUCCACAAUUAUCGACUAUUCCCUCCCCCCAACCAGAACGAAACAUUGUCCUCAAUGUUUUAAAGGAAAAAAGUAGAGUUUAGAAGACAUCACCUGGGUGGUGCAACACAGAAGAAAAUAUUUACAAGCGGAGAGUUAAAUCUAAUUUGUACUUCUUACUGCGGCUACUGUUACCAUCAUUAUUUGGAUGCUCCAACACAAAGGUCCAGGGAUCUGGCUCCGGUCUAUAAGCUUGUAACAGAUCAAGUAGCUCAUUAGCAGUGUGAGCACAAAUAAAAAGUUUUUUCGUAUUGGAAGGAAUGAAGUAGUUUUUUAUUGCAUGGUUAAGAAAUGUGAUGAAGCCAUCAUAAAAGUUAUUGACAUUUAACAAACCGAUGGAUUUCUGGUGAAUGUGCAUAUGGGCCCAAGAUGCUAGUGUGAUAAGUGUCUCUAGUGUUGCAAGAUCUCUUGGAAGGAAAAUAAAAGUAUCAGCAUGAUUAAGCAUUUUAGUUAUUCUUUCUUGCAUACCUGAGAUGACUAACUCUUCUCCAGUCGAUGAGUCAGACAAACUGCCCAAAGGUUUUAGAGCUCUUGGGAUGAUGCCUAACACUUGGCUUCUUCUGACAAAAGCAGCUUCUGAGACCAAUUUUGAUAACCCUCGGUUACCUCCUCCAUACACCAAGUGUAAUUUUCUCUCUGCUAUGCUUCGACCAAUAUCUAUAGCUGCCUCAACGAACUCUUUAUGUUUGCCAUUGUGAAACCCAAAAAGCACACAAAUGUUCUUGAAUUGUCUAUUGGGAGUAGCUGCCAUUGAGAUACUUCUCAAAAAUAAUUUGUGAGCGCUUGACAAAAAAUUAUAUUUAAGAAUCUUGAUGACAGCGGGUCACAGCUGUGUAUGAGGUAGCAUGUCAGUGUCAAAUAACGUGUAAAGCACAUGGCUCGAGAGUAAAAAAGCAAACAGUAAAAAAAUGAUAAAAUAAAAUUAUUAAAGAAAAUAUUGCAAAUGAUAAAACAACAGUGAAAUAAAAUAACAGUGAAGUAAAAGGAUAUUUACAAGUAGUUUCGACUGUGGCUCACAUCUUCCUCUGGUUUUACGUCCAGAAACGGCUUGAACUCCUUCUAUGGGUCGAGGAUAGACUUCCUAUCCAGUUUUCUUAAAAACUGGCAAACAUGGUCGUUUAUAGUCAGAUUCCCGAGACUAUAUCGUGCAUGCUCUUUCUGGAAUAAUGGUCAUAACUGGAGAAUCGCUCCUUGCACAUAUCCAUUGGGAUGCGUUUCAAGAGAUAAAAAGAUAUCAUCCAAUGACUCCUUAUUCAAGUCAUCCCUAAUGAAUUGAAUCUUAUCUUUCCUGUUAUCAGACACCAUUCCUAAAGAACAUGAGUUUUUAUCGCAUCUCAUUCUGGCACAUUUAUGACAAGCAACAGAAAUUCUUCGAGCUCGUCGUUUUCUUGCAUAAUUUCCUUUACCACAACCAGGCAUGUAUACAAUAAAUUUUGGAGGUAACUCACCUGCCAAUCGUACUUUAGCCUCAAUUAAACAACGGAUGUCAGCAGGUAUGUUAUUCCUCAUGAGCAAUCGCAUGCAUUCGGAUCGAGCUUUAUAGAUUGUACGGAGGGUAUUCUGAGGAAGUGAAGGGAAUCGCUUGUGAAGUUUCGCUAGAAUCUCGUUUCUGUCCAUACCUUCACCUUAGAAUAUCAGUUAUUAUGGGAAAACUGAAGUAACCGACUUGAUUGUCACAGAGUACCGUUAUCCGCCACUUCAAUGGGAUAACAAACUAAAGCACACAAACAGAAAAACAAAUAACACACAGAAAAUUAAAAUCGUCCUCUUAUUGAAUUUACCUCAAGUUCCAACUGGAUGUUGUAAACACUUCUCUCAAUGUCUCUGAGUUGGCUUUCUAAAUCCUCAACAUAGGAUACUAACUCUGGUGGUUGCAGAGCCCAAAUACGAUGUGUUUUACAAAAUUGAAUCUGCCUUUUGAGAUGAGAUUUUACACGUUGAAGUGGUUUAAGAAUGUUCAGGAAGAACGGUUUAAGUAUGGUACUCAUGAUUAACAAUGAUAAGAAAAAAACUUAAUAGUUAAACAAACACACUUAUGCAAAAAUAAUUUCAAUUAGCAAAAAUAAAUAAUAAAAAGAAAAAAAAAUCAAAUCACCGAAAAGAAAAAAAAAAUCAAUUCAAAUCUGGUGGGUCACUCAAAUUUAUUUCGGUGUCUCCUCCAUGUGGUUGGUACUCUUGAUAUGGUUUUAAUCUUUGACCAUUAACUUUAAACGUAACACCAUUCUUUGGGUCCUUUAUUUCAAUUGCCCCAUGUGGAAAAACAGUAUGAAUAAUAAAGGGGCCAGACCAUCGAGAGCGUAACUUACCUGGGAAUAAGUGCAAGCGAGAAUUGAAUAAAAGCACUUUUUAACCUGGAGUGAAAGAUUUUCUCAUAAUUUUCUUGUCAUUGAAAACUUUCAUUCGUUGCUUGUAAAUCUUGGCAUUUUCGUAUGCAUCAUUACGAAUUUCUUCAAGUUCUGCCAGCUGUAAUCUUCUUUCUGAGCUAGCUUGUUGCAUGUCAAAGUUGAAUUUCUUGAUGGCCCAGUAUGUACGAUACUCAAGUUCCACAUGUAGGUGGCAAGCUUUUCCAUACACUAGCCUGUAGGGUGACAUCCCAAUCGGGGUCUUAAAAGCCGUUCUAUAUGCCCAUAAUGCAUCAUCAAGUCUUAAUGACCAAUAUUUUCUGUCUGGCCUCACAGUCUUUUCUAAUAUGUGAUUUAUUUCUCGAUUGGAGAUCUCAACUUGGCCACUAGUUUGCGGAUGAAAUGGGGUCGCCACUUUGUGAGUGAUUGAAUACUUUGCAAAAGUGGGCACCACCAUCACUGAUUAUCGCUCGAGGAAAUCCAAAGCGUGAAACAAUGUUGCUUUUCAAAAAUCCUAUCACCACCUUGUGAUCAUUGGUUCUACAUGGAAUUGCUUCUACCCAUUUUGAUACGUAGUCAACAGCAACCAAUAUGUAUUGAUGGCCAAACGAAGAGGGAAAGGGUCCCAUGAAGCCGAUACCCCAUACGUCAAAAAUCUCAACCACUAAAAUUAGAUUUAGUGGCAUCAUGUUCCUUCGUGUAAUGCUCCCCAUUCGUUGACACCUAUCACAUGAAGAACAGAAAGUGUAAGCAUCUCGAAAUAUAGUUAGCCAAUAAAAACCACAUUGUAAAACUUUAAUAGCUGUUUUCUUAGCACUGAAAUGGCCUCCACAAGCUUGUUCAUGGCAGAAUGAAUGGAUAUUCUGAAUUUCAUUUUCUGGGACACAUCGUCUAACAAUUUGAUCUGCAUAUUACUUGAACAAAUACGGGUCAUCCCAAAAGAAAUUCUUUAUUUCUGCAAAGAAUUUAGUCUUGUCUUGCUUGGUCCAAUGCUCUGGAAGUUGACCUGUAACAAAAUAAUUAACGAUAUCAGCAUACCAUGAUAAUACUUCCACACUCAUCAAUUGUUCAUCUGGGAAUGACUCAUUCAAUGGUAAUGAUUCUAUAAUUGUGUCAAAAUUGAGACGAGAGAGAUGGUCUGCCACAACAUUUUCUGUGCCUUUCUUAUCUUUAAAUUUCAAGUCGAAUUCCUGCAAAAGUAACACCUAACGAAUUAGUCUAGCUUUUGCAUCUUUCUUUGUGAGAAGAUAUUUAAGAGCAACAUGAUCCGUAAAUACAAUUAUUUUACAACCAAUGAGAUAAGAUCGAAAUUUUUCUAAUGCAAACACUACUGCUAGCAUUUCUUUUUCAGUAGUUGAAUAGUUCAAUUGUACAUCAUUCAAUGUCAUACUAGCAUAGUAAAUAACAUGAGGAAUUCGAUCAACUCUUUGUCCUAACACUGCUCCUACUGCAUAAUCAGAUGCAUCACACAUGAGUUCAAAUGGUAAGCUCUAGUUUGGGGGCUGAAUGAUGGGUGAUGAUGUCAACAACCGCUUUAAUUUUUCAAACGCCACAAGACAUGAAUCAUUAAAGAUAAAAGGUACAUCCUUAGCAAGUAAAUUACAUAAGGGUCUAGAACUUUGCUAAAAUCUUUAAUGAAACGUCUAUAGAAACCAGCAUGCCCAAGGAAAGAUCUUACUUCUCUAACUGUUUUGGGUGGAGGAAGAUUAGAAAUGAGAUCCAUCUUGGCUUUGUCAACCUCAAUACCUUUGCUCGAAAUGAUGUGACCGAGAACAAUACCUUGUUUUACCAUAAAAUGACACUUCUCCCAAUUCAAGACUAAGUUCUUCUCGGUACAUCUCUGCAGAACUAGUGUUAGAUGAUGUAAACAUUGAUCAAACGAGUCACCAAAGAUAGAAAAGUCAUCCAUAAAGACUUCAAGGAAUCGUUCAACCAUAUCAGAAAAAAUGCUUAACAUGCAUCGUUGAAAUGUAGCAGGUGCAUUACAUAAUCCAAAUGGCAUCCUCUUAUAUGCAAAAGUGCCAAAAGGGCAAGUGAAAGUAGUUUUCUCCUGAUCUUUUGGUGUUAUGGGGAUCUGAUUGUAUCCUGAGUAGCCAUCUAGAAAGCAAUAAAAUUCAUGGCCUGCUAAUCUAUUAAGCAUUUGAUCAAUAAAUGGUAAAGGAAAAUGGUCUUUACGUGUGACAGAAUUCAACUUUCUAUAAUCAAUGCAUACACGCCAUCAUGUAGUUACUCUAGUUGGUAUUAAUUCAUUAUGAGCAUUGGUAACUACUGUGACUCCUGACUUUUUAGGGAUAACUUGUACAGGACUGACCCAUAAACUAUCAGAAAUUGAGUAAAUGAUACCUGCAUCUAAUAGCUUAAGGACUUCAGUUCUAACAACUUCUUUCAUGUUAGGAUUUAACCGAUGUUGCAUUUCCCUAGUAGGUUUAGCAUUUUCAUCAAGGUGAAUGUAAUGCAUGCAGUAUACUGGGUUUAUACCUUUGAUGUCUGCUAUGGUCCAUCCUAAUGCUCCUUUGUGCUCUUUUAAAACAUCUAACAACUUACCUUUUUGUUCGUCAUUGAGGGAUGAUGAGAUGAUUACCGGCAGAGUACUUUCGGUGGUGAUUCUGAUGAUGGGAUGAGUUUCUUUUUUUAUGGUGCUAGUUGUUCAACUCUUGACUUCCAUUUAUUAGUGUUCAUGGAUGGUGCUGAGUCAAGAAGGACGUUGACCUCAUCAACUGAUAUGUCAAUAUCAAAAUUAAAACCAAAGUAAGUUAAACAUGUUUGUAAAGGGUCAUCACUAAGGUUUGAAAGAAAAGUGUCAUCAACCAAUGCUUCAAUUAAAUCCACAUCAACAAUUCUAUCAUCUGCAUUGUAAGGUUGUUUGGCAAUGUUGAAGAUGUUCAACUUCAUAGUCAUGUUACCGAAGGACAACUGUAUAUUUCCAGUCCUGCAUUGAAUGUGAGCAUCUGCAGUUGCCAAGAAAGGUCGGCCUAGAAUAAUGGGGAUGUGCUUCCUUGAAUCUUGUAUUGGUUGAGUGUCAAUUACAAUGAAAUCAACAGGAAAAUAAAACUUGUUUACCUGGAUAAGCACGUCCUCCACAAUACCACAAAGUAUUUUCGUGGACCGAUCUGCAAGUUGUAACACCACUGGAGUUGGGUGUAAUUCUCUUAGUCCAAGUUUCACGAAAACUGAGUAAGGUAACAGAUUUACACUAUCUCCUAAAUCCAACAAAACAUUCUCAAUUGUAUGGUUCCCUAUGCUACAUGAGUUAGUGAGGGAACCCAGGUCUUUACAUUUCAAAGGAAUUUUGUGUUGGAGUAUAGAACUAACAUUUUCUGUUAAAAAUGCCUUCUUUUGAACAUAAAUAUUUCUCUUUUUAGUACAAAGGUCUUUAAGAAACUUGGCAUAAGAUGAAACUUGUUUUAUAAUAUCAAGUAAAGGGAUGUUAACACUUACCUGUUUGAAGAUUUCAAGAAUCUCACCUGUGAAUUUUUCUUUCUUUCCUUUAGCUAACCUCUGAGGAAAUGGAGCUUUGGGAACAUAUUCUCGUGGGUUGGUUUCUUCUUUCUCUUCGGAUGGUGAGUCCUCAACAUUCACAUGUACAAUUUUAUUUUCUUUUGUCACCGGCAUCUCCACUUUGUUGUCGACUGUUUUUCCUUUUCGUAAGGUCAUGACUGUUUUGACCUCUCCAUGCUGCUGUGGUGAACUGGUACUUGCUUCAUGUACUCUUUUAGGAUUAGGCACUGGUUGACUUGGAAAUUUACCUUUCUCAACAGUCAUUGCCAAGGUCUGAACUGAAGAAGCAAGUUGUCCCACCAUCUUCUCGAGGCUUGAAACUGAUUGGGCUUGUGAGUUGAAGCCCGCUCUCAACUCAUUUCGUAGUCCAUCAAUGGUGUGAUUCUGUUGCUCAAUCGUAGAGUGAGUAACAUUCCUGAAAUUUUGGAAUGCAUCCUCCCAUGGUCUGGGUUGAGAGUAGUUCUAGUUAUAAUUGUAUGAUCUAAAUGGUGGCUGAGAGGCUUGGGGAACUUAAGGAAUUUGUUGCAUUGGUGAAGCUGGAGCUGCUGGUCCAUUCUGUUGGAAUCCUUAAGACCAUGAAAAAUUGGGGUGGUCUCUCCAUCCAGGGUUAUAUGUGUUGGAGUAUGGGUUGUAAUUCGAUGGUUUUCUCAUUACACCUAUGACAUUGGUUUGAUCUGAGUAUGAGUCAUGGUCAUGUGGUUCUGUUGAUUUAGCAGUCGAUAACGAUGUUCUUUGUCGAGAGAGACCUUCAAUUAUCACUUUGACUUCUUUAAUUUCUGAACUUGACUCGCAAAUGUGAACCCCAAUUACUCCCUUAAUUUUUCUAGUAUUCCUGAGUGAUCGACUCCGUUGUUGGGAAUUAUCCGCUUGUCGCUGGAAGAAUUCCCAAAUUUCUGAUGCACUUUUUGCCAUUAACUCUCCUCCACUUGUUGCCGUUAGCCAUUCUUGCACAUUCGGCAAUAAUCCCUCCAAAAAGUAUUGGCAUUGGUGCUAUUUCUCGUACCCAUGAUGUGGACACUUCAAGAGUAGCCCAUUGAAUCACUCCCAUGUUUCGAAAAACUGUUGGUCUUCUCUCUGGGUAAACUAUGAAAUUUCCCUACGAAUAGCAUUGGUUUUAUGCAUUGGGAAGUAUUUAUUCAAAAAUUUAGCUACUAUUUGUUCCCAUGAUGUAAUGCUAUUGGCAGACAAUGUAUUAAGCCAUGAACGAGCUUUAUCCUUUAAAGAAAAUGGGAAUAAUAUGAGUUUAACAUCAUCGUUUGAAAAAUUCUCGUAUUUAAAAGUUUGACAAAUAGCAUGAAAAUCAUUCAGAUGAUUAUAUGAGUCCUCAUUUUCUAAGCCAUAGAAUAUUGGGAGACAAUUUAGCACACUAGGUUUUAGUUCAAAACUCCUAGUAGCUACAUUUGGGUAUCUUAUAUAUGAUGUGCUCAAAUUAGUUAAGGGACUAAAAUAGUCCUUAAAUGGCCUCUCCUGUGGUGCUUGUAAAUCCAUUCCAAAUUUAUUUUUAACGUACUUGUGUGUGCGAAGUGUUUUUUCUAGUUCAAGGUCUAUAGGUUCAAGAUUAGGUAAUAAUGACAUACGACCAUGCAUGCAAGAAACACAAAAAUAAAUGGAAACAAAACAAAUAAAAAUAAAUAAGAAUGAGAAAUUACGUUACUAACUUUAUCACGCUGUUAAAACAUUUCUAUAAAAAUACACAAAAACAAAUACGUGAAAUAAAUUAACUAAAAAAAUUAGUAAGAUAAACAAAAAUUACAAAUAAGAAAAAAAAUAACUUGAAAUUAAAUUACAGAAUUUUAAAGAAGAGAAAAAGAAAAAAAAUACUAACCUCUAAAUGCAAAUUCACUUUUUUUUUCUUUUUUCUUUUUUUUAAUAAAAAAUACAAGAAAAUAAAUAAAAGAAAUUAUUCACAAAAAUUAAUUAUGCGAAUUAAAAUAACUUACCUCCCCGGCAACAGCGUUAAAAACUUGUUGUGCAAAUUUUAUUGAACUCGCAAGUGCACGAAUCUAUUGUAGAAUAGACCAAUGGUGACGAGUGUCGAUCCCAUGAGGAGGUUGAUUCUAAUUGUGUGUAGAAUUAAUUUUUCUAAAUGGAUGUUUGGAUUUGUGGUGAAAGUGACUUAGAUUAUUCUAAAAUUAGAAUUGAAAUGGCAAGAAUAAAUUGAAGAGAAAUCUAUUGAAAUGACGUACUUGGGUAUCUGGAUCCGUAUCAACAUGCACCAUGGGCUAAAUAUUCUUUAUUAAUGCCAAUUAAAUCAUGAAGGGGGUUUCCACACCUCAUGAACCACGUUCUAAUCAAUAUGGUGCUAAGGGCUUAUCGUGCCAAAUAAUAAUAACCUUAUACUAGAGAGCCGGUGAAACCAAGGCGGUAUCGAGACAAGAUUAUUAUUAUUUGUCGACGAGAAGUCAAAACAUCCACAAAAAUUAGAGGGAAAGAGAAAAUAAAUUUACCAAAUAAAGCCCAUGACACAUGUUGAGACUUCACCUUCAACCCAAGCUUGAAAGAAAAUUAGCUACGCAUAAUUGAACUAGGGGCAAAAUGAGAAUUUAUUCAAAUACAUAGAAAAUACAAGAUGGAGAAGGAAUUACAGAAAAUGGAGUCCAAAAAUGGAUUCAGAGAUAUCAAAUUAGGGGGGAAGAGCCCCCUUUUUAUAGAUACAUUGAGUAAAUCAUGGCCAUCGGAUCAAAAAUAUUUCGAACGCUCAGGAUUGCGCCACGUCAUCAGUCAACAGUACGCGGUUUGAACAGUAACACGGUUUAACCCGGGUUGAACAGUGACGCGGUUUGGUUGAAAAUAAUUGUGUGUAAUGCAUGUACCGUACGCGAGAUUUUUGGUCCACUGAUAUGCUGCCACGUCAUCAAUCAACAGUGCAUAAGAAUUUUAGUCCAACAGGAUCGUGACACCUCAUCAGUCAAUGCCACGUCAUCGGUCAAUGCCACGUCAUCGAUCCGUCUAUGUGAACAUUGUUGUGAACAGUAACGUAGACAAUACCGUACAUGUGAAUAGUACCGUACAUGUGAACAGUGCCAUUUUUCCUUUUAUACUCUUUCUAAGGUUUUCGACCGUCCUGAGUUUAAAAGUGAUGUCCGUUUUGCCGUCUGAUCUCUCGUUCAUUCUGAAAUGACUGUGAUGCCCCUAAAAUACAUAAAAUACUUAAUUAUAAUACAACACACAUAAUUAAAUGACAAGAAGUUUAAAUACAUAAAAGUAAGGGUGUUAGUAAAACUUGAAGUAUAAAAUGACAAUUUUCUCCUUUAUAAAUAUACAUUUUCUAACACUCAACAGUCCUUUCAUGCCUUUGACUAAAAAUGAAGUCGAGGAAGAUAUUUCAAAACCUUCACGGGAAUGGAAUGAAUUCGAAAAGAGAAAAGCUUCUCUAAAUUCCAAGGCUAUGAAUGCCUUGUUUUGUGCACUAGAUAAGAAAGAGUUUUAUAGAGUGUCUAGUUGCGAAAGUACUAAUGAAAUUUGGCACAAACUUGAAGUUGUUUAUGAAGGCACGAACCAAGUGAAAGAAUCUAAAAUAAGUAGGUACACUCGACAAUAUGAAUUGUUCCAAAUAGAACAAAAUGAGAAUGUGUACUCUAUGUAUACUAGAUUUACGAACAUAGUAAACACUCUAGGAGCCCUAGGAAAUACCUUUUCAAAUAGCGAGAAAGUUAAGAAAAUUAUUAAGUCGCUACCUAAGGAAUGGAGACCAAAAAGGACUACCAUUGAGGAAGCCAAAGAUUUAAAUGCAUUACUUAUUGAUGAUUUAAUUGGUUCUCUCAUUUCAUAUGAAGAAGAUUUAAUAGCUGAAAAAAUGGCAUGAGGAAAAGAAGAAAAACAUUGCUCUCAAGGCUUCAAAAUGUGAGAGUGAUGAGGAAAGCGAAAUGGAUGAUGAGGAGUUGGCAAUGUUGGCUAGAAGAUUCAGAAAAUUUUACAAGAAAAAUAAUGAGCAGAGAAAGUUCAGAGGCUACAAGAAUAAGAAUGAGAAGAAAGAGCCAAUCACUUGUUAUGAAUGUAAGAAGUCCGGACACAUACGACUGGAAUGUCAUCUCCUCAACAAACUCAAGAAGAAAGCUAUGGUGGCGACAUGAGAUGAUAGCGAUGAGGAAACAAGUGAUGAUGAAGAGCAACAAGAAAUGACAAAUUUAGCUCUCAUGGCCUUUGGGGAAGAAUCAUGUGAUGAACUUGAUGAGGUAAGUAUUCUUCCUACAUUUGAUGAAUUACAUGAUGCCUUUAAGGAUUUGCAUGAUGAGUUGAUGAAGAUUGGUAAAAAGAAUAUAUGUCUUAAAAAGAAGAUGAUAGAGCUUAAAAAUGAAAAUGAAUCAUUUAGUGCAAAGAUUACAUGCCUAAAAUUAGAGAAUAAAACAUUGUAUGAUAGAAUUGCAUUAUUUGAGAAUUCUAGCACUCCACAUGAGCACUUAGAGUCACACAUGAAUGACUUGAAAAAUGAAAAUGAAAUGCUUAAAAAGAAGAGCAAUAAACUAAAUGAGAUUGUGCUAAAAUUCAUAAAUGGGCAAAAGAUAUUGGACAACUUGCUAAACUCACAAAAAUGUGUUUUUGACAAAGGAGACAUUGGUUAUAAGCCAAACUUGAAACAAAAAUAUUACAAGAUUUAUUUUGUGAAGAAUACAUCUAUUAACAAUCAAAUUGUAUGUCAUUAUUGUAAUCAAGAUGGUCUUAUGAAAAAUAGAUGUGUGGUGAAGAGAAAUGCAUAAUAUGGUGUGAAAUGUGUUUGGGUUCCGAAAGGAACCAUUUCUAACUCUCAAGGACCCAAAAAGGUUUGGAUACCUAAAAUUUGAGAUUCUCUCUACAGGACUUGAAGAAAAAGAAGAAUAAGUGGUACUUGGACAGCGGUUGUUCAAGACAUAUGACUUGGAAUUAUUAUUGGUUUUCAAGUUUUACUAAGAUCGAAAAUGGUGGAGAUGUAUUGUUUGGAGAUAAUUCAAAAGAAAAAAUCAUUGGCAUUGGAAAUGUAGGUAAUGUAUCCUCUACUCUCAUUGAAAAUGUGUGUUUGGUUGAAAACUUAAAACACAGCUUGCUUAGUAUUAGUCAAUUAUGUGAUAAAGGAUAUAGAGUUAUCUUUGAUGAAUCAAAAUGUGUUAUUGAGAAUGCAUGUGAUGGGAAAGUUUUGUUUGUAGGAAAUAGAUGUGUUAAUGUCUAUUCCAUUAAUAUAUAUUGUGCAUCGACAAAUGAUAAAUGUUUAUCCGCAUUGCAUGAUGAUGGUUGGUUGUGGCAUAGAAGAUUAGUUCAUGCAAGCAUGGAUUCGAUUUCAAAAAUCGUGAAAAAUGAUUUGGUUAAAGGUCUUCCAAAAAUUAGUUUUCAAAAAGAUAGAAUUUGUGAAGCUUGCCAAUUUGGAAAACAAAUCAAAACUUCUUUUAAAAGCAAAAAUCAUGUUUCUACUUCAAAACCACUUCAAUUACUUCACAUAAAUUUGUUUGGACCUUCUAGAUAUGCUAGUUUAAGUGGCAAGUUUUAUGAAUUUGUAAUUGUAGAUGAUUAUUCUAGAUACACAUGGAUAUUGUUCUUAGCUAAUAAGGAUGAUGUCAUUGAUGCAUUUUGAAUUUUCGGUAAAAAUGUCCAAAAUGAAAAAGGUUAUUCCAUUACUUGUAUUAGAAGUGAUCAUGGUGGAGAAUUUGAAAAUCAUGCAUUUGAAAGUUUUUGUAAUGACUUUGGCAUUGAGCAUCAAUUUUCAUCAUUUAGGACUCCACAACAAAAUGGAGUUGUAGAGAGAAAGAGUAUGUCUAUUCAAGAAAUGGCUAAGACCAUGUUAAAUGAAAAUUCUUUGCCAAAAUAUUUUUGGGCCGAAGCCGUCAACACCGCUUGUUAUGUUGUAAAUUGUGUGUUGAUUAGACCUAAUCUUAAUAAAACUUCAUAUGAGCUUUGGAAAGAUAGAAAACCCAACAUUGGCUAUUUUAAAGUCUUUGGAUGCAAAUGUUUUGUUUUGAACACAAAAGAUAAUCUUGGUAAAUUCGAUCCAAAAUCUGAUGUUGGUAUCUUUCUUAGUUAUUCAAAUUCAAGCAAAGCUUAUAGAGUUUAUAAUAAAAGAACUUUGGUUGUGAAAGAUUCUAUACAUGUUACAUUUGAUGAGUCUAACCCCUCCUCUACAGAGAAAGUUGUUGUUGAUGAUAACGAAGAAGAAUAAGAACAAGAAGAAGCAUCAAAUGACAACAAAAAAUGUGCAUCACAUGGAAUUCAAGAGGAACAUCAUGAAGAAACAAAUGCAGAGCAAAAUGAAGGUACUUCUCAAACACUCCCCAAGGAGUGGAGGUAUAUUUCUUCUCACCCUAAGGAUGUAAUUUUAGGAGAUCCCUCACGAGGUGUUACAACUAGAUCAUCUCUUAGGAACACAUGUGAGCAUGCUGCAUUUAUCUCUUAAAUUGAACCAAAAUCCUUUGCGGAUGCGGAAAAUGAUGAAUCUUGGAUUAUGGCCAUGCAAGAGGAGUUGAAUCAAUUUGAAAGAAAUAAUGUGUGGGAAUUAGUUCCUAAUCCAGAACAUCAAUCUAUUAUAGGCACUAAUGGGUAUUUAGAAACAAAAUGGAUGAAUCUGGUGUGGUUGUAAGAAAUAAAGCUAGAUUAGUGGCUCAAGGUUACAACCAAGAAGAAGGAAUUGAUUUUGAUGAAACAUUUGCACUUGUAGCUAGGUUAGAAUCCAUUAGGAUGUUGUUAGCAUAUGCAUGUCAUAAGGAUUUUAUUUUAUAUCAAAUGGAUGGCAAGAGUGCUUUCUUAAAUGGUUAUAUUAUGGAGGAAGUUUAUGUGAAACAACCUCCUGAUUUUGAAAAUGAAAAAUUUACAGAUCAUGUGUAUAAGUUAUCUAAGGCUUUGUAUGGACUAAAACAAGCACCUAGAGCUUGGUAUGAUAGGCUUAAAAACUUCUUGUUGGAUAACAAUUUUUCGAUGGGAAAAGCGGACACAACUUUAUUUGUUAAGCAUAUGAACCAAGAUAUACUUAUUGUUCAAAUUUAUGUUGAUGAUAUUAUUUUUUGUUCUACUAAUGAGUUGUUGUGUAAAAAAAUUUCAUCAUGUAUGAGCAAAGAAUUUGAGAUGAGUAUGAUGGGAGAGUUGAAGUACUUCCUUGGACUCCAAAUUAAACAAAACGAGGAAGGAAUUUUCAUAAAUCAAGCCAAGUACGUGAAAGAUCUACUCAAAUCCAAUUCAUUUUCAAGCUCUCCAACAAGCAAAAACAAAAAGCACACGAGAUAUCUUGAGCUCUCAAUUUGCAAAUCACAAAAACAUUGAAUCAUCUCUUGUUCUUCAUUUUUGAAUAUCUACUCUUUGAGUGAGUUUUAUUGUAACUUUCAUUUCUUCAUCUUAAUUGUAAGAGUUUGAGUGUGUGAGACACUUGAGUGAAGAGAUUGAGAGAUAAUCUCUUUAUUGUAAAGGUUCAUUGACACAUUGAAGUCAAUUGUAAACGGUUGAAGCCUUGGAAAGGUUCGGAUAGUGAAAUCAUCAAGCUUGGAUCGCUUGGAGGCGUGGACGUAGGUGGGGAUUGCCGAACCACGUAAAAAUUCGUGUGUUUGUUUCUCUUCUCCCUUACUCAUUUGUUAUUGUGCUUUUAUUAAACUUAUUGCUUUCAAUUUUUAUUAAGACAUUAGAUUGCUUGUUGUGUAGAUUUGCUAGGAUAAUUUUUAAAAUUCCAAUUCACCCCUCUUCUUGGGUUGCACACUUAUAUUUCAUUCUUCUCUCCCAAAUCCACCAGCCCAGUCUUAACUUUUCCAGCAAUAAUUGACAGUGGUUGGAUGGCAACUUCAUCUCCAACAUCACCCGCCUGUAUUUCCAACACUUAGACGGUAGUUGGAUGGGUGAUUGACGACAUCUUCAUCUCCCAAAGCAAGGUUUUUUUUUUGUUUUAUUAAGAUUAGAUCAUCAUUUGAAUGUAAUUGAGUGUAUACUUUAUGAUAGAUGAGUAUUAUGGUUAAUUUACUAUGAAUUUUGAAAAGUAUUAAAUGAGAUUAUGAUUUGAGAAAAAUGGCAUAUGAGAUGUUUGUUGAAGUGCCUAUUAGACUUCGUUAUCUUAUUUUUGAUAGAUUGUGUUGUGGGUUUAUUAUGGCUUGGUACGAAUUCGUGUUCGACAAAGCAAGGCAAGUGAUUUUGGUGCGACAAGUGUUGCUUUGAUUUAGUGUGACGGAAGCUUAGAGCACAGACAACCUGCACCCUUCGCAUGAAAUCACAACAAGUAUGUUAAUGUAAUUUUAAGUGACAGACACUUGUCUUUGGGGCGAUAACGCCCGCCACUCAAAAUCAAAGCAAGCGUAUUGCUAUGAUUUUGAGCAACAUGCACUAUCUCCCAAGCCAUAGGUGCACGUUGCACGAAAUCACAACAAGCAUGUUAAUGUAAUUUUGACCGACAGGCACCCGUUACUCAAAUCAAAGUAAGCAUGUUGCUCUGCUUUGCCAAACAUGGAUUUGCACCAAGUCACAAUCAACCCACGACAUAAUCUAUCAAAAAUGAGAUAACAAAGUUUAAUUGGCAUCUCAACAAACACCUCAUAUGCCAUUUUUCUCAAACCAUAGUCUCAUUAAAUACUUUUCAAAAUUCAUAGAAAAUUAACCUAAUACGAAUCUAUCAUGAAAUAUACACUUAAUUACAUUCAAAAGACGGUCUAAUUUUAAUGAAACGAAAAAAAAAACUUGCUUUUGGAGAUGAAGCUUGCAUCAACCUCUUAUCCAGCCGCUGUCUAAGUGUCGAAAAUACAGCCACAAAGUCAAAGAAAAAGCUUAUGUCAAACGCCCAUCAAACUGCCGUUGAUUGUUUCCGGAAAAGUCAAGACCGUGCUGCUGGAUUUAGGAGUGACGAUAAUGUUCUUUUUUUUUUGUUUUGGAGUGACAAGGGUAUUUGUUGUCCAAAAAUGUUGAAAUUGGCUACAUAUGGUAGAAAACGUUUAACCGGCUAAUUCUAAAAGACCCUAAAAUUUUUGGGCUAAUUUUGUAAAUUUUCCUAGACAUUUUGCUUCAAAAUAUACUCUGUAACAAGCAAGGUAUGAGUAAGAGCAGUAAGAUUCAAUCCCACAUAUUAUCUUAAAAGGAUAUUAUCAUUCAUAUACCCUAUAGAUGCUUUGUUAUCAAAAAUACUACAACACUUUGAGGGUGUAUCAAUCGUCCACUCUAAAUUGACAAAAGAUAUCUGCCGACUACCAAACUGUUAGCUGCCGUUUGAAAGUUAAUGGAAUGAUAGUGAAUUGACGAUUUUACCCUUAAAAAUUAUCACUAGUACACUCUUAAAUUCUUUUAUUAUCACUUGUAUACCCUUAAAUUGUCACUUGUAUCUUAUGAAAAGACCAAAUUACCCCUCUGACGUUAUCCUAUUUAAAUGGCAAGUAACGGUUUGGUGGACGGCAGAUAUAUUUUGUCAACUUAUGGUGGACGAUUGAUACACCCUUAAAGUGUUGUAGUAUUUUUUAUAACAAAACAUCUAUAGGGUAUAUGAAUGAUAAUUUCCCUAUCUUAAAAGACCAUACUUUCUUUUAUACCCCAUUAAUUUUCAAAAUUAUCCUCUUAUCUCACCAGACACUUUUUUUUUUUUUUUUUGAUUCAUCAUCUACUUCCAAAUUUUCUUAUGUUCUGUCAUAACUAUCAUUUUUGUUUUUUAAAUAAUUGUAUCAACACACUUAGAUGCAAGUCUAUCAUCCAUUAUUUCAUUUUUUGAAAAAAAAAAGUGAUCAUCUAUUUUGUAAGUGUCUAUUAGAGAAUCUUUUAGACAUAUAAAUUUCUAAAAUUCAAUAUUUUAGAAUGAAAAAGAAAUAAAAAAUAAAAAAUCUAACAUUGUGUUAUACUACUCAUCAAAUCGCUAUAGAAUGAAUGGAAUAUUUUGCUUCAAAAAAUAAAAAACAUUUGACUCCUAUGACAUGCAAGUAAAAAUACAGAAGAGAAGAGCUGCCGGGUUAUUGAGUUUGAUUGAAAAAGAAAUAGAGCACAAUUUCUUUCUGUCCUUUAGGAUAAUUUUUAAUAUUAGACGGGGCCACAUGAGAUGAAAUGCGGGGCCGAAUAAUAACACUCCAUGAGUAAUGAGCACGUAUGCACGACCUCCUUUCUUUAUCGGGCUUGUAAUAAUUUGGGCUAAACCCAGCUUUCCAUAGCCACAAAAUCCCAUGAAGCUCAAAACAAAUAAAGGUGGUUCUGUUACAAGAUGCCUGUUUGCUCAUAAGAGUCGCUUGAAAUUUAAAUCCACACGAGGAGCUCUCCAAGCUACCCAAAUAUCAUCAAUAAUCAUUCAAAUCAUUGAAAAAAUAUGGAAAGUGCCAAGAGAGAUCAGACGAUAAGCCAUUGACGUUACCACGAAUCGUAUAAUCCCUCCACUCUGUCAAAACAGCAAUCAUGAUGCGUCAAGUGAGCCCCCUUCCUGCUUUUUACAUCCAAUUAGCCAAUCAAAUUCAAAACUCAAUUACGUGGUCGGUGAUCUACUUGCCCACGUGACACUGCUUUAAUGGUCAAAAUUAAUUAUGGGUCCUACAAUUGUAGGCCCCUCCACCGCCCGCCCUAUUGUCUUUUUGCCUUUUCGGGAUCUGCCUAAACAUAGAAGCCAGGUUCGUGGCCUUUUUUUUCACCUCUGCCUGGCGUCCCAAAAAUCAAAGAUGAAUUGAGAAUUUGAAUUUGAGUAGAACGACACGUCGGACGUCAUCCGAUAUCUUAGACGCCGCAAAUACCACAAACCUCGAGGCAUUAUCGAGUGUUUGCUACCGUACGAAGUCUUCAGUUUAGAGUUGUGCUUUACAGCCCUAGGGAUUCAUGAUUGUUCAAAAGCGCAGUAACGUGACGGGUUGCAUAUUUGUUGGCAAUAAAUACUAAUAUAUUUUUCUGUCUAAUUUAUGGUACUUUAAGCUAAAAAAAUCUGAUUUUUUUUAAAGAAAAGAUUCAACGCUAAUAUUGAAGAGUUUUUCAAUAAUAAUAACAACAACAACAACAAUGUCUAUACAAUUUUGAUAACAAAGUGCGCACACCAAGGUCCAACAUUUCUUGUUUUUACUGCAAAAAAACCAAACAAGCCAAUUUAUUAUUUCAUAUUUGUUGAAUUGGACAUAAUAAAAAUAUUUAAGAUAAAUUAGACAGGUUUAAAUUAUAAUGAUAGUUCGAAUUGUAUGUUGGAAAACAAGUCUUGUGUGUGAAGUCAUGUUUCUCGCUCUCUCUUUCUUUCUUGGCCUAGAAAGAUAUAUACACAAACUUAAUUAAUCUAAAGUUCGCAUGUGUGUAUGUAUAUAUAAUCAUUCUUAGGUGUGAAUGUCUGUUUUUUUUUUUUUAAUACAAAUACACUAUUAAAUCAUGUUGUUUAAAAAAAAUUAGUUUUGGAAUGAACUAUAAAAUUGUGCAGUUUUAAAGAAUUAAAAAUUAAUUCUCUUAAACCUUACAGUUUAAAAGUAUGUUCGUAUGAAAAAAUAAUGAAGACACCCACAUUAAAAAAUGACUAAUUUAUAUUUACAAUUAUUUAUUUCAUGUAUAUGCAUACACCCUUAAAUAAUUAACAUGCCUAACGAUUCAUUGCAUUUGCCUACACUGUAACAUCAACGUUCGAAUGUCCCCUACAAAAUGGAUUGGAAAGGUAGAAAGACACUUGAUCAAGAUAAUCUUACAGCUCAGCCGUCGAUGUCGAUGAUGAUGAAACAGAGUGGGUCCUGAGUCAGCAUGGUCAACAUCUGUUCCCUUGGUAUACCCACUGGGUCCACAUUCUUUCAUACCUGAUUCGCUGGAACAGGGGGCGAAGUAGUCAUGAAGCAUGCUUGCCACGUCAGAAUUUUAUUCGUUUCUUCCACGUAAAUCAAUCCUAUUGGUCCCGUGGGGACCCACCGGCUGACGCCGCCCCAUGCCCUUUACGGUCGAGGCCCGUUUGCUGAUUUGGUUGGCUGAUGUGGAUAGCCUAUUUUUCUUUUGGUCCCGCUUCCGAAAUAAGAGUGUAACCAAAAUGUGAUAAAUCAAAUUAUAAAUUGAUGGGUUGAUAAGUUUUGGAAAUUAUUUAAAACGUCUGCUUUUCAAUAUGAAAUUGUCAUGGCUUCAUUACCAUAUUACCUAGUUUAAAUCCACAUUUUCAAUCGUGUAACUGUUAUUUUUAGAGAAUAGUUACCAGUAUAUUAAUCAAUGUAAAUUCUUGAAAAAAGAACAUUCCAAAUUAGUUUAAUAUAUAUAUUGCAUACAGCACUGCUGGUCCGUGGCUUCAUGUGACUGUCAGAAAUAUCAUUCACAGUGAGAUUAAAUUAUUGAGGGUUGCCACAGUUAAAAGUAAUAGAUAUUCGAUCAAGAACGUGAGGUGAAUGAUUGUCAAGGACGCCUAAACAGCCGACUGUACAGAGCACACACUACAAAGGAAGAUGAUAGCUCAGCGGAAAAUUUGCGACCAUUGUUUGGCAAUUGGCAUUCCCCAAUCAAACUCGAAAGGGUACAAACUAUUAUGUAUUAAAAAUAGCAAAACCCCAUCUCAGAAACUUUCUUCUCGCAUAAUUACCAAACAUGCUCGCUCAUGCCCUUGGAAGUCAGUGUGGUGAGGUGUCAAAUCCCAAGAUUCUUCAAUCAAGGACCCCACUCAGCCACCCCCCCUCCUCCUUUUCUCUCAUCAACUUGAGGCUCCUUUUCACUAGUCACUACUAUAUAAAGCAGCCUCAUCACUCACACUCUGAUCAUCUCAAACACUCAAGCGCAUUGUCAAUUUCUUUGCUUUCUUAUAUUUAUAUACUUGUUUUCUUUGUAGUUUUCUAGCUGUUGAAAUUGCAAUAUGGCCACAGCUGAGGUGAAACUCAACUUCUAGUAAUCAAGUUCUUAUGCAUGCAUAUUGGCGUUAUGAUAAUAAUAGGCGAAUUAAUUAAUUUGAUUGUUCGUAUGCAGGUUGUGUCAGCAAAGACUGCUCUUUCUGAGGAGAUCAAAGCUGAGGAGCCAGUCAAGGCUGAAGAAACUAAAACAACUGAGGAGCCAGUCAAGGCUGAAGAAACUAAAACAGCUGAUGAGCCAGUCAAGACUGAAGAAACUAAAACAGAGGAGGUAGUUGCUUCAGCUUCUGCAGCACCUGUGGCACCAGAACCCGUUGCUGAAGAGCCACCAGCAGCAAAGGAAGCAGAACCUGUUGCUGUAACUGAAGAAGCUGCGGUGGUUACUCCAGAAGCUGAAGCCCCAGCUGAAGUUGAGACAAAGGAGGUGGUAGCCGAAGAUCAGCCAGCAGCAGCGGAGAAGACUACCGCAGAGAAAACUGAAGAAGUGGAAACUACUCCAACGGAGACACCAGAGCCAGCUGCUGAGAAAGAGGCCAAGGAAGAAGAGAAGAAGCCCGAGGCAGAAGUUGAAGCUGCAAAGGAGGAAGUGAAAGAUGAAGAGAAACCUGCAGUUGAGAAGCCAGCUGAAGCUGAGAAGAAAGCUGACACUGAUGGAGCCCCAGCUGAGAAGACUGAGUAAUAAGAUUGUAAGAACUAAUGUUGGCCAAUUUGCACGUCCAAGUUAAUUUAGUUCAGUGGUUUCAAAUAUUUUAGUAUUCUGUAACAAUAAGGGAUUUUGUUUGAGUCUUGGUAUCUGCAAACGACCCCAC